Molecule: ribosomal RNA, 1383 nt
Filed under: Rhodococcus rhodochrous KG-21
Lineage: Bacteria; Bacillati; Actinomycetota; Actinomycetes; Mycobacteriales; Nocardiaceae
Description: bacterial LSU rRNA
Rfam family: Bacterial large subunit ribosomal RNA
Source: RNAcentral
GAGGUGAUGCGUAGCCGAAUGAGGCGAAUUCCAUGAUCCUAUGCUGCCGAGAAAAGCCUCUAGCGAGCUUUCACACGGCCCGUACCCCAAACCGACACAGGUGGUCAGGUAGAGAAUACCGAGGCGAUCGAGAGAACUGUGGUUAAGGAACUCGGCAAAAUGCCCCCGUAACUUCGGGAGAAGGGGGACCACGCCCGGUGAAGACCUUCGCGGUCGGAGCUGGGGGUGGUCGCAGAGACCAGAGAGAAGCGACUGUUUACUAAAAACACAGGUCCGUGCGAAGUCGUAAGACGAGGUAUACGGACUGACGCCUGCCCGGUGCUGGAAGGUUAAGAGGACCGGUCAGCGGAGUGAUCCGCGAAGCUGAGAAUUUAAGCCCCAGUAAACGGCGGUGGUAACUAUAACCAUCCUAAGGUAGCGAAAUUCCUUGUCGGGUAAGUUCCGACCUGCACGAAUGGCGUAACGACUUCUCUGCUGUCUCAACCACAGACUCGGCGAAAUUGCAUUACGAGUAAAGAUGCUCGUUACGCGCGGCAGGACGAAAAGACCCCGGGACCUUCACUACAGCUUGGUAUUGGUGUUCGGUUCGGUUUGUGUAGGAUAGGUGGGAGACGGAGAAGCCCGCACGCCAGUGUGGGUGGAGUCGUUGUUGAAAUACCACUCUGAUCGUAUUGGACCUCUAACCUCGGACCCUGAUCGGGUUCAGGGACAGUGCCUGGUGGGUAGUUUAACUGGGGCGGUUGCCUCCCAAAAUGUAACGGAGGCGCCCAAAGGUUCCCUCAGCCUGGUUGGCAAUCAGGUGGCGAGUGCAAGUGCACAAGGGAGCUUGACUGUGAGACCGACAGGUCGAGCAGGGACGAAAGUCGGGACUAGUGAUCCGGCACCGGCAUGUGGAAGCGGUGUCGCUCAACGGAUAAAAGGUACCCCGGGGAUAACAGGCUGAUCUUCCCCAAGAGUCCAUAUCGACGGGAUGGUUUGGCACCUCGAUGUCGGCUCGUCGCAUCCUGGGGCUGGAGUAGGUCCCAAGGGUUGGGCUGUUCGCCCAUUAAAGCGGCACGCGAGCUGGGUUUAGAACGUCGUGAGACAGUUCGGUCUCUAUCCGCCGCGCGCGUUAGAAACUUGAGGAAGGCUGUCCCUAGUACGAGAGGACCGGGACGGACGAACCUCUGGUGUGCCAGUUGUCCCGCCAGGGGCACGGCUGGUUGGCUACGUUCGGAAGGGAUAACCGCUGAAAGCAUCUAAGCGGGAAGCCUGUUCCAAGAUGAGGUUUCUCACCCCCUCGAGGGGGUAAGGCCCCCGGCAGACCACCGGGUUGAUAGGCCGGAACUGGAAGUGCGGCAACGCAUGCAGGUGACCGGUACUAAUAGGCCGAGGACUUACCAC